AGGACCCGUCUUGAAACACGGACCAAGGAGUCUAACAUGUGCGCGAGUCAUUGGGACUGUAAAGCCUAAAGGCGCAAUGAAAGUGAAGGUCGUCCUUAGCGUCGACCGAGGGAGGAUGGCUCGCGUCACGAUGCGAGCCCGCACUCCCGGGGCGUCUCGUGCUCAUUGCGAGCAGAGGCGCACCCAGAGCGUACACGUUGGGACCCGAAAGAUGGUGAACUAUGCCUGGUCAGGACGAAGUCAGGGGAAACCCUGAUGGAGGUCCGUAGCGAUUCUGACGUGCAAAUCGAUCGUCGGAACUGGGUAUAGGGGCGAAAGACUAAUCGAACCAUCUAGUAGCUGGUUCCCUCCGA
Molecule: ribosomal RNA, 353 nt
Filed under: Pnigalio sp. D0255
Lineage: Eukaryota; Metazoa; Arthropoda; Insecta; Hymenoptera; Eulophidae
Description: eukaryotic LSU rRNA
Rfam family: Eukaryotic large subunit ribosomal RNA
Source: RNAcentral